Molecule: ribosomal RNA, 533 nt
Filed under: uncultured archaeon
Lineage: Archaea
Description: bacterial SSU rRNA
Rfam family: Archaeal small subunit ribosomal RNA
Source: RNAcentral
CCGCGGGAACACCGGCGGCCCGAGUGGUGAUCGUGAUUAUUGGGUCUAAAGGGUCCGUAGCCGGUUGGUCAGUCCUCCGGGAAAUCUGAUAGCUCAACUAUUAGGCUUUCGGGGGAUACUGCCAGACUUGGAACCGGGAGAGGUAAGAGGUACUACAGGGGUAGGAGUGAAAUCUUGUAAUCCCUGUGGGACCACCUGUGGCGAAGGCGUCUUACCAGAACGGGUUCGACGGUGAGGGACGAAAGCUGGGGGCACGAACCGGAUUAGAUACCCGGGUAGUCCCAGCCGUAAACGAUGCUCGCUAGGUGUCAGGCAUGGCGCGACCGUGUCUGGUGCCGCAGGGAAGCCGUGAAGCGAGCCACCUGGGAAGUACGGCCGCAAGGCUGAAACUUAAAGGAAUUGGCGGGGGAGCACAACAACGGGUGGAAGCCUGCGGUUUAAUUGGACUCAACGCCGGACAACUCACCGGGGGCGACAGCAAUAUGUAGGCCAAGCUGAAGACUUUGCCUGAAUCGCUGAGGGGUGGUGCAUGG